AGUAAAACCAAAUUCUUUGUUAUAUUAUAAAAAAUGGGUAUUCACCCUUUUCUUAUUGUAAAGACAGCACUGGAAUUGUGAAAGCUCAAAAAGGGGCCAAAACAGCCCUCAACCCACAUUACAUUUCUACAGGUCACACCAAGAAGAACAAAUGGCAAGAUGAGCAAAAUAGCAUGCUUAAUAACACUAACAAAAACUCUGAAGUUUUCCAUUUACAGGUGACAGCAGUUCUAGUAAGGCCAAGGAAUGCUUCGCUCCAUCAAAGAGAACCACUUCAACAACUCCACACAGCAUGAAGUGAGGGAUGAAGGGCGUGCUAGUAACAACCCACCCUUGCCAACGAUGGAAAGACCAUUGCAACAACACGCAAAGAGUCUCCCUGGUGAAGAUGGAAUGAGAGAGUGAUGGGACUGCUACUGAGAUCGAAAUACUUGGGAGCAGAUGGGAGCCAACAAAUGGAAAAGAAAAAGUGGAAAGAUAAUGUCAAGUAAUGGCAGAUGUAGAAUUUGAAGGUUAUGAGGAGAAGGGAAAUAUGGAUGUAGGAGGAUUUGAAGGGAAAAUAGAGCAAUUGAAUGCAACAAAUAGAAUGAAAAAAGCAAAAUAGAAAAGCUCGAGAUUUGUAAACUGAAGAAGGAAAAGUAUGUGUUAUGUUUGGGGGACAAUGAUGUAUUUAUAUACCAAAUAAUACUGCUCUAGAAGGAGCAUUUAAUGAAGUAAUGAUCAAAUUGAAAAGGCUUAGAAUGGUAUAUAAAGAAAAUGUUGGAAAAGAUAAUAAAAUGUGAGACUGGUUUGAUUUAAAGUUAGGAGCAUGGGGAGCAUGGUUUGCUAAAUUGGGAAAGUUUUUAGGAAUUGCAUUAUUGACAGGAGAUUUAAUAUUUUACUGUAUACUUCCUAUAUUGAGGUCACUAGUCAAAGCCACAGCUAAGCAAAUGAAAUCCAAAGAUGUUAA
Molecule: long non-coding RNA, 949 nt
Organism: Carassius carassius (crucian carp)
Lineage: Eukaryota; Metazoa; Chordata; Actinopteri; Cypriniformes; Cyprinidae
Exons: 2
Source: RefSeq, a predicted model, not a curated record